UGGGAAGGCAUUGUGACAUCAUUGGUCAUGUGGCUUGGGUUUGACAUGCUAGCGAUACUUCCCCCAGACAGUACCCCAGCCCUGUAAGUUCUUCGUGUUCUUUCCUGUAUAACACUGCCACAAGUGUAGAGGAAAAACCUGCGACUGAGUGAAUGACUGGAAGCAUCACUCCAGCCCCUGGCCUGAGAGUUGCGUUGGUCUGGACUCCAACUCCCAGCCUGCCAAGCCUUCACUCCUCCCCAGGGAGGGUCAGGACCACUCCCACAGCUUUUUAGGCGGGGGGGGGGGGGGGGGGUGUAAAUUACUUGGUCUCUAGGGUGUGUGUGGGCUCCUCUUCUUGCCAUGCUGUCCUCGUCCACCUGAGAGUGCUGCAUUUAUUAAACAUGGGCAUUUUAA
Myodes glareolus (Bank vole) is the source of this 396-nucleotide long non-coding RNA. RefSeq lists it as uncharacterized. NCBI's taxonomy places the organism in Eukaryota, Metazoa, Chordata, Mammalia, Rodentia, Cricetidae. The record is from RefSeq and is a predicted model, not a curated record.